GAGCAAGGAGACCUCAGACCCUUCUCCAGCCCUUGGACACAGCCUGGUGAUGCUAACAGCCUCUCGUACUCCUAGCCAGAGAUCCCAAAAAAAUGGAAUAACCCCUUCAAGGCUCUUCCGUGCUCCCCUCUUGAUGGGAAAACACUGCUUGGCUCAGUUUUGCAUCAGCACAACUCUUCCCCAGCACAUCCUUUGGGACAGGAAUGGAGCAGCUCUUUGGGAAGUCUGUGAAGCCUUUGGUUUGUCAUGGCUGCUUCUGGGCAGUGAUGGCACAGGAGGUGAGGGAAUCACUUCUCCUGAGGCAACUUCCCUGACCAGAGCUCAGGUGCUGACUGCAAGCUCACACAGGUGA
Molecule: long non-coding RNA, 352 nt
Filed under: Chloebia gouldiae (Gouldian finch)
Lineage: Eukaryota; Metazoa; Chordata; Aves; Passeriformes; Passeridae
Description: Erythrura gouldiae (Gouldian finch) lncRNA (ENSEGOG00005004453.1)
Source: RNAcentral